Molecule: non-coding RNA, 30 nt
Filed under: Cricetulus griseus (Chinese hamster)
Lineage: Eukaryota; Metazoa; Chordata; Mammalia; Rodentia; Cricetidae
Source: RNAcentral
GAGCUGUGUUGUUUUUGACUUGUGAAUUGG